UACGUACUGUGCGAACGUUAUUCGGAAUCACUGGGCUUAAAGGGUGCGUAGGCGGCCAAUUAAGUAGGGUGUGAAAUGCCAGAGCUCAACUUUGGCAUUGCGCUCUAGACUGGCUGGCUUGAGUGAGAUAGGGGUGUGCGGAACUUCCAGUGGAGCGGUGAAAUGUGUUGAUAUUGGAAGGAACGCCGGUGGCGAAAGCGGCACACUGGGUCUUAACUGACGCUGAGGCGCGAAAGCUAGGGGAGCAAAC
This 250-nucleotide ribosomal RNA is filed under the name uncultured bacterium. Its description in RNAcentral is "partial 16S ribosomal RNA". It matches the Rfam family "Bacterial small subunit ribosomal RNA", at positions 524 to 773 of the family's 1533-position model. The record is from RNAcentral.